AUUGAACGGCUGGCGGAAUGCUUUACACAUGCAAGUCGAACGGCAGGCACGGGGCAACCUGGUGGCGAGUGGCGAACGGGUGAGUAAUAUAUCGGAACGUGCCCAAUCGUGGGGGAUAACGUAGCGAAAGUUACGCCAAUACCGCAUACGAUCUACGGAUGAAAGCGGGGGAUCGCAAGACCUCGCGCGAAUGGAGCGGCCGAUAUCAGAUUAGGUAGUUGGUGGGGUAAAGGCUCACCAAGCCAACGAUCUGUAGCUGGUCUGAGAGGACGACCAGCCACACUGGAACUGAGACACGGUCCAGACUCUACGGGAGGCAGCAGUGGGGAAUUUUGGACAAUGGGCGCAAGCCUGAUCCAGCCAUUCCGCGUGCAGGAUGAAGGCCUUCGGGUUGUAAACUGCUUUUGUACGGAACGAAACGGUCUGCCCUAAUACGGCGGGCUAAUGACGGUACCGUAAGAAUAAGCACCGGCUAACUACGUG
RNAcentral lists this ribosomal RNA (483 nucleotides) under uncultured bacterium. RNAcentral describes it as "bacterial SSU rRNA". It matches the Rfam family "Bacterial small subunit ribosomal RNA", at positions 35 to 507 of the family's 1533-position model. The record is from RNAcentral.